RNAcentral lists this non-coding RNA (513 nucleotides) under Pan troglodytes (chimpanzee). Lineage: Eukaryota; Metazoa; Chordata; Mammalia; Primates; Hominidae. The record is from RNAcentral.
CUGGCUCUCCAUGCCUACCUGUGGUCUCUUGGACACCCUUGCAGAAGAUGACUUCCUGGGAACUCUUCUGGGAGUGAAUGUUAUCAGCAAAUUCCCAAAACAACACCCCUUAGACAAAAAGCCUCCUCACCUAUGCAUUGCCUAGACCACCCACUAAAGAUGGUGACCACGGAGGAAGACUUGUGUUGGGCCCAGUGGCCCUCGGCCAGUGUCCGUCUGCCAGGUGCUAGCCCCCGGUGCGCUGAAGCUCAGGCCGUUCCUGGUGCCCUGGCCUCCUGCCCUGAGCUGUGUGAGCUCUUCUGCCCAGGCAGGCCCCCUGGCAUUGACCGGCAUAGACAGUGAGCCUGGAGGAAGACUUGCCUUGGUCCCACUGUCCCUGGGCCAGUGUCCAUCAGCCAGGUGCCCAGACCCCAGUGCGCUGAAGCUCAGCCCGCCCUGGCACUCUGGUCUCCUGUACUGAGCUGUGUGAGCUCUUCCGCCCAUGAGGGCCCCCUGGCCUUGAGCAGCAUAGGU